CGUGAAAUUCCGUCGGAAUCCGGGAGGACCAUCUCCCAAGGCUAAAUACUCCCUAGUGACCGAUAGUGAACCAGUACCGUGAGGGAAAGGUGAAAAGCACCCCGGAAGGGGAGUGAAACAGUUCCUGAAACCGUGUGCCUACAAGUAGUUAGAGCCCGUUAAUGGGUGAUAGCGUGCCUUUUGUAGAAUGAACCGGCGAGUUACGAUUUGUUGCAAGGUUAAGCGGAAAAAGCGGAGCCGUAGCGAAAGCGAGUCUGAAUAGGGCGCAUAAGUAACAGGUCGUAGACCCGAAACCAGGUGAUCUACCCAUGUCCAGGAUGAAGGUAAGGUAAUACUUACUGGAGGUCCGAACCCACGCACGUUGAAAAGUGCGGGGAUGAGGUGUGGGUAGCGGAGAAAUUCCAAUCGAACUUGGAGAUAGCUGGUUCUCUCCGAAAUAGCUUUAGGGCUAGCCUCGAGGUAAAGAGUCAUGGAGGUAGAGCACUGUUUGGACUAGGGGCCCUUCUCGGGUUACCGAAUUCAGAUAAACUCCGAAUGCCAUGUACUUAUACUCGGGAGUCAGACUGCGAGUGAUAAGAUCCGUAGUCGAAAGGGAAACAGCCCAGACCACCAGUUAAGGUCCCCAAAUAUAUGUUAAGUGGAAAAGGAUGUGGGGUUGCUUAGACAACCAGGAUGUUGGCUUAGAAGCAGCCACCAUUGAAAGAGUGCGUAAUAGCUCACUGGUCGAGUGACCCCGCGCCGAAAAUGUACCGGGGCUAAACAUAUUACCGAAACUGUGGAUGAACCUCUUUAGAGGUUCGUGGUAGGAGAGCGUUCUAAGGGCGGUGAAGUCAGACCGGAAGGACUGGUGGAGCGCUUAGAAGUGAGAAUGCCGGUAUGAGUAGCGAAAGAAGGGUGAGAAUCCCUUCCACCGAAUAUCUAAGGUUUCCUGAGGAAGGCUCGUCCGCUCAGGGUUAGUCGGGACCUAAGCCGAGGCCGAUAGGCGUAGGCGAUGGACAACAGGUAGAGAUUCCUGUACCAGUGCUAAUUGUUUAACCGAUGGGGUGACACAGAAGGAUAGGGAAUCGCACGAAUGGAAAUGUGCGUCCAAGCAGUGAGUGUGAGAAGUAGGCAAAUCCGCUUCUCGCGAAGCAUGAGCUGUGAUGGGGAAGGAAAUUAAGUACGGAAGUUCCUGAUUUCACGCUGUCAAGAAAAGCCUCUAGGAAGAGUAGUACUGCCCGUACCGCAAACCGACACAGGUAGAUGAGGAGAGAAUCCUAAGGUGAGCGAGAGAACUCUCGUUAAGGAACUCGGCAAAAUGACCCCGUAACUUCGGGAGAAGGGGUGCUCUAUUAGGGUGCAAGCCCGAGAGAGCCGCAGUGAAUAGGCCCAGGCGACUGUUUAGCAAAAACACAGGUCUCUGCAAAACCGUAAGGUGACGUAUAGGGGCUGACGCCUGCCCGGUGCUGGAAGGUUAAGAGGAGUGCUUAGCUUCGGCGAAGGUACGAAUUGAAGCCCCAGUAAACGGCGGCCGUAACUAUAACGGUCCUAAGGUAGCGAAAUUCCUUGUCGGGUAAGUUCCGACCCGCACGAAAGGCGCAACGAUCUGGGCACUGUCUCAACGAGAGACUCGGUGAAAUUAUAGUACCUGUGAAGAUGCAGGUUACCCGCGACAGGACGGAAAGACCCCGUGGAGCUUUACUGCAACCUGAUAUGGAAUGUUUGUACCGCUUGUACAGGAUAGGUAGGAGCCGAAGAGACGUGUGCGCUAGCAUACGAGGAGGCAAUGGUGGGAUACUACCCUGGCUGUAUGACCAUUCUAACCCGCCACGCUUAGCGCGUGGGGAGACAGUGUCAGGUGGGCAGUUUGACUGGGGCGGUCGCCUCCUAAAGAGUAACGGAGGCGCCCAAAGGUUCCCUCAGAAUGGAUGGAAAUCAUUCGCAGAGUGUAAAGGCACAAGGGAGCUUGACUGCGAGACUGACAAGUCGAGCAGGGACGAAAGUCGGGCUUAGUGAUCCGGUGGUUCCGCAUGGAAGGGCCAUCGCUCAACGGAUAAAAGCUACCCCGGGGAUAACAGGCUUAUCUCCCCCAAGAGUCCACAUCGACGGGGAGGUUUGGCACCUCGAUGUCGGCUCGUCGCAUCCUGGGGCUGUAGUCGGUCCCAAGGGUUGGGCUGUUCGCCCAUUAAAGCGGCACGCGAGCUGGGUUCAGAACGUCGUGAGACAGUUCGGUCCCUAUCCGUCGCGGGCGCAGGAAAUUUGAGAGGAGCUGUCCUUAGUACGAGAGGACCGGGAUGGACACACCGCUGGUGUACCAGUUGUUCCGCCAGGAGCAUCGCUGGGUAGCUAUGUGUGGCAGGGAUAAACGCUGAAAGCAUCUAAGCGUGAAGCCCCCCUCAAGAUGAGAUUUCCCAUUUCUUCGGAAAGUAAGAUCCCUGAAAGAUGAUCAGGUAGAUAGGUUUGGAGUGGAAGUGUAGCGAUACAUGGAGCGGACAAAUACUAAUCGAUCGAGGACUUAACCAAAA
This 2504-nucleotide ribosomal RNA is filed under the name Listeria monocytogenes. RNAcentral describes it as "partial 23S ribosomal RNA". It matches the Rfam family "Bacterial large subunit ribosomal RNA", at positions 425 to 2925 of the family's 2925-position model. Lineage: Bacteria; Bacillati; Bacillota; Bacilli; Caryophanales; Listeriaceae. The record is from RNAcentral.